UAAGUACAUCAUCUGUGAACAAGGUUGGUGUCUCUUUUUCAGUCGAUUUGCAUUUCUUCAUCAACACACAAUUAUUAAAUUAUUCAUUGUUUUCCAAGUACUUGCUAACAAUCCAAACAUUCUUUAAUGUCAUCCUGAUUGUCCUUUGCUCUUUCCUCAAAAUAUAUGCUCCUGUGACACUGGUGAUGUUGCAAUCUCUGUUGCUAGAUCCAUCAUACUCGUUUGCAUAAAUGGCCGUUAUAAUCUUCACGUUCCGGUGCUGCUAACAUGCAAACAUUGCAAUAAGCAAUGGGCUCCAGAAGUCAGUGACUUUGUAAGGAGUGGUUACUGGCCCGCUACCAUGCAAGCACAGACACUCUUCCACCAAGAUCUGUUCCAUUCCUUUGAAGCUAUGAAGACAACAGCUCCAGGAAUGUCAGUGAAAGCCUUCACAGCAAUGUUGGACCAGAGAACAAAUCGGUUUGGAAGAACGGCAGGAAGAGCAAUGUGUGGGGAAUCCCAAUGGACAGCAGCAAGAGAGACCUCAAAGCAGGCCAACAAGUUGGAUGAAGAAGGUGUAGAAAUUGCUGUGUGCAGGCAUGGAUUCCUCCUCAAAGGUCUGAAUAUGUAUAGAGGAGAAAUCUUUGCAUAUCCAAUGUUUCUCCAAAAAGAGUUCCAGGAUGCUGCAUUUUUGUCCAUGGAUGUGACCUGCCGUUAUGUGCCACACCUGGAGAAGGUGUCAGAGGUCCUGACUCAUCUUCAGCCUCUUCAGAAAAUCAGACAUUGCUUGUCCGUGAUGCAUGCCAAAGCCCACAAUACAAAAUGCGAGGUGAUGCUUUUAACAACUUUUACAUUUUGAUGUAGCCAGCAAUUAACGUAAAGUACCACAAUGAAUGAUGUUGUGACCCAACAACAACCCAGGAGUGUGUUCUGAGUUGUACAUGAGCCCCUAUGUGCUGUCCUCUACAGCUGGUGACCUUGGGAUAUGUAUCAAUAUUGAUCACCCUGUUGUCCAC
Long non-coding RNA from Cyprinus carpio (common carp), 995 nucleotides. RefSeq lists it as uncharacterized. The record is from RefSeq and is a predicted model, not a curated record. The transcript is spliced from 4 exons. NCBI's taxonomy places the organism in Eukaryota, Metazoa, Chordata, Actinopteri, Cypriniformes, Cyprinidae.